Molecule: ribosomal RNA, 252 nt
Filed under: uncultured prokaryote
Description: partial 16S rRNA
Rfam family: Archaeal small subunit ribosomal RNA
Source: RNAcentral
ACCGGCGGCUCGAGUGGUGGCCACUAUUACUGGGCUUAAAGCGUUCGUAGCUGGCUUGUUAAGUCUCUGGGGAAAUCUUCCGGCUCAACCGGAAGGCGUCUCAGGGAUACUGGCAGGCUAGGGACCGGAAGAGGUGAGAGGUACUCCAGGGGGGCGCGUCACCGGCUGUGAUCCUAGGGGGAGCAACGGUGGCGGGGGCGGCACCACGGUUCAGCUACGUCUGUGUGGAGCCUAAGUUGCUACAGCAUACCU